GACGAACGCUGGCGGCGUGCUUAACACAUGCAAGUCGAACGGAAACGCCCUGCUUUUGUGGGGUGCUCGAGUGCCGAACGGGUGAGUAACACGUGAGUAACCUGCCCUUGACUUUGGGAUAACUUCAGGAAACUGGGGCUACUACCGUACAGGAGCUCCUGUAGCAUGGUGGGCGUUGGAAAGUCUCGGCGGUUGGGGAUGGACUAGCGGCUUAUCAGCUUGCUGGUGGGGUAGUGGCUUACCAAGGCAUUGACGGGUAGCCGGCCUGAGAGGGUGACCGGGGACAAUGCGCCUGAGGUACGGCGCAGACGGCAACAGGGGGCAGCAGGGGCGAGUAUGGCACAGUGGGCGGGAGUCUGAGGCAGAAGCGCCGCGUGCGUGAUGACGGCCUUCGGGGUGUGAACAGCAGUCGGCUGAGACGACGCGGGAGUGACGGUAAUGGGUGAAGAAGCACCGGCUAACUACGUG
This 468-nucleotide ribosomal RNA is filed under the name uncultured bacterium. Its description in RNAcentral is "partial 16S ribosomal RNA". It matches the Rfam family "Bacterial small subunit ribosomal RNA", at positions 28 to 507 of the family's 1533-position model. The record is from RNAcentral.